This is a long non-coding RNA of Carassius auratus (goldfish), 322 nucleotides long. RefSeq lists it as uncharacterized. The record is from RefSeq and is a predicted model, not a curated record. The transcript is spliced from 3 exons. Lineage: Eukaryota; Metazoa; Chordata; Actinopteri; Cypriniformes; Cyprinidae.
UGCCAUCGCAAUGACGCAACACACAUCAAGGGGACAGCUUGCAGAGUGAACACAAAAAACUGGGACAUUACUGCAGGCUACGCCUCAUACAACACCCUCGCAGCCUGCCACAUUCCCGCUGGCCCUCUAAUGAACGGAAACCCAGGGCGGAUCUGUCACCAGAACACUGUCCUGUGCAGCCUGGAAAUGGUGGAGCCAAGCAGCCUACACACAGUCUGUCACACAGGGGAGGAGAGCAGAAGAAAUCUAAACAUAUGCAGCUGUGAUGUUGAGAAUGUAGUUCGGCUGGACCCACAGAAUGAAAGCCUGAUGUCUUUUAUGC